UACAGAGGUCCCGAGCGUUGUUCGGAUUCACUGGGCGUAAAGGGUGCGCAGGUGGGUUGGCAAGUUCGAUGUGAAAGCCCCGGGCUUAACCCGGGAAUGGCAUUGAAAACUGCUGAUCUGGAGGAUUGGAGGGGGGACUGGAAUUCUUGGUGUAGCAGUGAAAUGCGUAGAUAUCAAGAGGAACACCAGUGGCGAAGGCGAGUCCCUGGACAAUUCCUGACACUGAGGCACGAAAGCCAAGGGAGCAAACAGG
Molecule: ribosomal RNA, 253 nt
Filed under: uncultured bacterium
Lineage: Bacteria
Description: partial 16S ribosomal RNA
Rfam family: Bacterial small subunit ribosomal RNA
Source: RNAcentral